GGCAGAGGUGGAAGCACGGUAACGUGUGGAGCUGACUGUUACUAAUAGGUCGAGGGCUUGACCAAAAA
This 68-nucleotide ribosomal RNA is filed under the name Lachnoclostridium sp. An138. Its description in RNAcentral is "partial 23S ribosomal RNA". Lineage: Bacteria; Bacillati; Bacillota; Clostridia; Lachnospirales; Lachnospiraceae. The record is from RNAcentral.